This is an RNA transcript of Phalaenopsis equestris, 2377 nucleotides long. It is a transcript of the gene named protein trichome birefringence-like 11, with no coding region annotated. The transcript is spliced from 5 exons. The record is from RefSeq and is a predicted model, not a curated record. Lineage: Eukaryota; Viridiplantae; Streptophyta; Magnoliopsida; Asparagales; Orchidaceae.
GUGCAGGCGCCACGAUUUCCACCAUUCGUGUCGUGUAUCGCGUAUUGCAUGUUGACUUCAUAUGGGCGAUUUCAACAAGAAAUGGGAGCCCUCAACGGAACAGGUUGUUAUUCAUUAGAAGGGAGGAUUAAUUGAGACAUAAUGUAAUUGGUGUAGCCUGGUAAAUACAUAAACGAAAUACUAGAUGGAGCGAGCGCUACCUCUUCUCAUACUGGCAUCCAUUGCCGUCUUCCUCUUCGUCUUCAUAACACGCUGGUUCUGCUACCACGCUGUGCUCAUCGACGGAGUCAACCUACUAGUCCCCGGAGUAGAUCGCGGCGGAGUUGGGAGUUGGCCGGUGGAGGAGAGGUUUGAAGGUGGAGGAGAUGAAUGUGAUUUCUUUGAUGGGGAGUGGAUUUGGGACGAAAGCUACCCGCUUUAUCAGUCCAAAGACUGCCCCUUUCUGGACGAGGGUUUCCGCUGCACCGAGAACGGCAGGCCCGACAGAUUCUAUACCAAAUGGCGAUGGAAGCCUAAACGCUGCACUCUCCCAAGUUUUGAUGCGAAGAAGAUGCUCGAGAGGAUAAGGAAUAGGAGGGUAGUUUUUGCAGGGGAUUCCAUUGGGAGGAACCAAUGGGAGUCUCUCUUCUGCAUGUUGUAUUCGGCCAUAGUUGACAGGGGCUCAAUCUAUGAAGUUAAUGGAAGCCCGAUUAGUAAACAUAAAGGAUUCUUGGUGUUCAAGUUUAAGGACUAUAACUGUACUUUGGAGUACUACAGGUCUCCUUUCUUGGUUCGAUAUGGGAGGCCCCCACGAGGUGUGUCAAAACAGAUAAAGAGCACUGUAAAACUGGAUGCUAUGGACCAAUACUCCUCCAGAUGGAGGGAUGCAGAUGUGCUGGUUUUGAAUGCUGGCCACUGGUGGAAUCAUGAGAAGACUCUCGGAGGGGGGCGUUUUUUUCAAGAAGGAUCGGAGGUGAAGAAGUAUAUGAGUGUGGAAACUGCAUAUCUGAGAUCAAUGAACACGGUGUUUAAAUGGGUCCAGAAAGAAGUUAAUACAACCAAGACUCAUGUCUUCUUCCGCACAUAUUCUCCUGUCCACUUCAGAAAUGGUGACUGGAAAAGUGGAGGAAAAUGCCAUCAAGAAAUACUCCCUGAAUCCAACCAUUCUCAACUGUCAUCCAACUCAUGGUUUCCUUUCCUCGAACCUUUCACAAGCUCAUCCUCAGACAGUUCUUCUGCUUCCUCACUUUCAGUUUUGGAGCUCUUAAACAUAACUUACAUGACAGCAUUAAGGAAGGAUGGCCAUCAAUCACUGUAUCACCUCAGCCCUGCAAGCGUCACAACUGAUAGCAGAGAGGACUGCAGCCACUGGUGUUUGCCCGGAGUUCCUGAUGCGUGGAAUGAAAUUUUGUACGCAAUGUUUCUCAGAAGAGUGUCUUCGAUCCGUCAAAGUCCAUUACCUUCAUCGACACAGUGAAUAUGAGGUCUGAAUACUGAAUCAUAUUACCAAGAUUCUCAACUUUCAUCCAACUUUUAAUUCAGAUUCAGUUUGAUAACUGUUUAAGAGGAUAGUUGCUACAGUUAUUGAAAUUGUUUAACUAGUAAGGAAGCUAGUUGCCGAUUGCCUAUUUCAAGUCAUCCAAUCAAUGAGAAUGCUGUCACAGUGUGAAAAGAAAAGAAAAAAAAAAUCGAGGGCAAGGAUAUUGAUGUAGAGAAAAAUAGUGUUUUUUGAUUGAGAAAGAAGAGAUCCAUACAGAUAUUCAAAGGAUCGAAGACGCAUUGCGGAGCCAAAACAAAAAGCGGGCAAGAAUGUUGAUAUGACAUAAUUACGCCACUCUGUGGCGUAAUUACAUCGCCCGUGUUAUUAGCUCGGCGUAAUUAUGCCAAGCCUUAGCAUAGUUACGCCCGACCAGCGGCGUAAUUAUGUCAAGAAUAGGCAUAGCUACACACGACUCGACAGGCUUAAUUUGGUUUAUUUUUUAUUUUUUUCCCAUGGCGAAAUUGACAAGAGAUAUAUAAGAAGAUGCUUUAGGACACCCUAGAGGUGGUGUGUAGACAUUGGAGGCAUCUUUCGGCAAGUUUUAGGGUUUCUAUGUCAAACCUUUCAUUGGGUUUUACUUUUAAGUUUUGAGAGUUUUUGUGUGUGAGAGAGAUUGAAUGUUGUUGUGUGAGAGCGAUUGUGGAGUUUCUUAUUGUAUGGUGAUGACUUGGUGUAUUACGAAGACAACUUGGUUUGAUUUUAAGUUUGCACUUGUUUCUAUAAUUUUUCAAUGAUAUUUUUCUUAUUUUUCUCCCUCAUGACUCAUAGUUAAAACUGCUUUCAUGCUCCUUUAAUGUAAGGAUAAUUUUUUCUCCUUGUUCUUACUAUGAGUUUUCCCGUCAAUGUUUUCUAUGUUUU